GAAAUAACAGAAAAGAUAUUUAUUGGCCAGGAAGUUGGUGCUGCUAAGACCGAGAAAUUUAAAGAAUCGGACAGAUGGACGCAGAGAACCAGAGGGCAAUGUGGGACCUUCUCUUGCCAUGGCCUCAGGUCUUGAGGGAAGGCUCGGGCCUAGGUUUCUGGACUGCAAAGGGGACCCCCAGGUGGGAGGGGCAGGAAGCAGCCGGAGUGAGCCCUUCGCCCCUGAGUGCCUGGCUCGCACCUCUCGAGCUGUGCCCUGGGCAUCACUGAGCAGAGGGGUGCGGCAGCUUCAGGAGGCAGAAACGAGAGGGGUGGGAGAUCCACAGGACCAAAGGGUGCAGUGAUGGGCUGGGUGGCGGGCCCAGGGAAAUGGGGUGGGGAUGGGCUGGGUAAGACCUGGCCCUCCCCUGCUGCCCUGAAGACCACCCCAGUCUACCUCGGUGCUGGCCAGGAAACCUUUCGGCUACCUCUCCCACCAUCCCAGACUGUGGGCAGGGGGAUGGGGAGGGAGUGGGCCUGGAUCUGGGACCUCCCUCCAGAAUUUCCUCCAGAUGGGGGCAGUGCCCAGGGAGGGGUUAUUUGUCUUCCCUGCCAUGGAGUGGGAAUCCCCAGCCGAGGCCCUAGGCCCCUCAGCAGGGAAGGGAUCCCCGGGGAGGCAGGUCCCAGGAGCAGACCCUGCCCCCAGCCCCCACAGACACACCCCAAUCUGAAAGCCAUGCGUGUCGGUGUAUAUAGGAACCAUGUACAGAGCCCAGAGAAGCCCCCUACAUCCCCCCGGGAAAAAAAAGAAAACUAGACAGAAACUCAUCUAUAUAUUCUGUAUCUGGAGUUCCGUUUUGAAUAUUAACUGUGUUAUUUUUAUACACUUUUUAAGCCUUAACUCGCCAUUGAUUUACCAGUUUAACGUUUCCUGGGGUUUCUUUGCCCAUGGGGUUCUCUGCCCCCACCCCCGGCCCUUUGUUUGACUUGCGUCGUCUGAUACUCAGUAUUGUAGCUUUUUGUCCGCAUGUUACUCCCUGUAAAUACGCUGUUAUACAUACUGUUAACACCCCUUUGCUUUUUCUAUGGGACCUCCAGGCCACCAUAUUUAGAACUAGUUACCUUAUUAAAAAAGAAAAAACAGUCUGUUGGCUUCUCAGUCUGCAUCUUGGAGGCAGGGAGGUGAGGGCAGGUGCCCCUCAGACACUUCAGGAAGGUAGUUUGCAUUCUAUUUAAAAAAGGGAGUGGGGAGCAAAUGAAAAUCAAAUGUGGGGGGAAAACACUAAAGGGGGCAAGAAACAAAGGAAUUACAAACCCUCUGCUCUUUGUAUUUCUCUGUUGUGAAGAAUAAACUGUACCUGCACCCGG
Molecule: long non-coding RNA, 1346 nt
Filed under: Homo sapiens (human)
Lineage: Eukaryota; Metazoa; Chordata; Mammalia; Primates; Hominidae
Description: non-protein coding lnc-ZNF362-3:1
Source: RNAcentral